UACGGAGGGUGCAAGCGUUGUCCGGAUUUAUUGGGUUUAAAGGGCGCGUAGGCGGCCUUGCAAGUGGCGGGUGAAAUCCCUCGGCUUAACCGAGGAACUGCCUGCCAGACUGCAAGGCUCGAGACCGGGAGAGGUGAGUGGAAUUCCCAGUGUAGCGGUGAAAUGCGUAGAUAUUGGGAGGAACACCAGUGGCGAAGGCGGCUCACUGGACCGGAACUGACGCUGAGGCGCGAAAGCGUGGGGAGCAAACAGG
Molecule: ribosomal RNA, 253 nt
Filed under: uncultured bacterium
Lineage: Bacteria
Description: partial 16S ribosomal RNA
Rfam family: Bacterial small subunit ribosomal RNA
Source: RNAcentral